Betta splendens (Siamese fighting fish) is the source of this 633-nucleotide long non-coding RNA. RefSeq lists it as uncharacterized. The record is from RefSeq and is a predicted model, not a curated record. The transcript has 3 exons. NCBI's taxonomy places the organism in Eukaryota, Metazoa, Chordata, Actinopteri, Anabantiformes, Osphronemidae.
AUUUUCGGACACAAACGGAACGAGAUGUACAAGUAAAGGCUGUCUUUUUAUCAUUUGUGAAUGUAUAUUCGUAUAUUCGUCUUAUACACUUUAUUCUUUUGAGAUAGAGAAGAAAUUAAGCUUACCAUUUCUACCUUCUACCAGGUACAGUAGUGGAAUGAGUUCAGCAUGAUGUGAUUCCCUGAUGCUUCUCGCUGUGUCUGGGACCAUAAAUAGCCUUCUCCAGCUGAAGGUACUCCGAGGUCACCUCCAGGCAAGUCAUAUGACAUGACAUGGGUUCUGCUGUCACACUAAGAGGAGGGAUGGGGCCAACAGAAUCAAAGUGAGAGAGCGAGUUGAGCCAUGUACUGGAGUAUGACGACCCGCCCAACGCGGAGCUUUAGCCACUGCUGCACCCAGGAAUCAGCCAUGUGGACCUGAUGUAUGUAUCCCAAGAGAGCUUCCUUUGUUAGCACCAUGAGAAAACUGUUCUGUUAUUGGAAGCGUGGCCUGUGUGGAAAGUUGUCCUGUAAAGACAGAUAAAUUAUUAUUUCUGAGUCGUCAUUUCCGUCCCCCUGCCAUUCGUCUUAUUAUCAAAAUGAAAUGUUUGCUUAAAGUCUGUUGGUCUUGUUUGAAUAAAGUUCUUACACCUCC